RNAcentral lists this ribosomal RNA (476 nucleotides) under uncultured bacterium. Its description in RNAcentral is "bacterial SSU rRNA". It matches the Rfam family "Bacterial small subunit ribosomal RNA", at positions 26 to 518 of the family's 1533-position model. The record is from RNAcentral.
AGGACGAACGCUGGCGGCACGCUUAACACAUGCAAGUCGAACGGAGUUUAGAGAGCUUGCUUUUAAAACUAGUGGCGGACGGGUGAGUAACACGUGAGCAAUCUGCCUUCAGAGGGGGAUAGCAGUUGGAAACGACUGAUAAUACCGCAUAAUAUAGUAGGAUCGCAUGAUUUAACUAUCAAAGAUUUAUCGCUGAAAGAUGAGCUCGCGUCUGAUUAGAUAGUUGGUGAGGUAACGGCUCACCAAGUCGACGAUCAGUAGCCGGACUGAGAGGUUGAACGGCCACAUUGGGACUGAGACACGGCCCAGACUCCUACGGGAGGCAGCAGUGGGGAAUAUUGCACAAUGGGCGCAAGCCUGAUGCAAGCGAUGCCGCGUGAGGGAAGAAGGUUUUAGGAUUGUAAACCUCUGUCUUCAGGGACGAUAAUGACGGUACCUGAGGAGGAAGCUCCGGCUAACUACGUGCCAGCAGCAGC